GACGAACGCUGGCGGCGUGCUUAACACAUGCAAGUCGAACGGAAAGGCCCUGCGUUUGUGGGUUUCUCGAGUGGCGAACGGGUGAGUAACACGUGAGUAACCUGCCCUUGACUUUGGGAUAACUUCAGGAAACUGGGGCUAAUACCGGAUAGGAUCUCCUGCUGCAUGGGGUGGUUUAGAAAGUUUCGGCGGUUGUGGCUGUACUCGCUGCUUAUCAGCUUGUUGGUGGGGUAGUGGCGUACCAAGGCUUUGACGGGUAGGCGGCAUUAGAGGGUGACCGGCGACAUGGGGACUGAGAGACGGCGCAGAAUGCUACGGGAGGCAGCAGUGGGGAAUAUUGCACAAUGGGCGGAAGCCUGAUGCAGCAACGCCGCGUGCGGGAUGACGGCCUUCGGGUUGUAAACCGAUUUCGCCUGUGACGAAGAGUGAGUGACGGUAAUGGGUAAAGAAGCACCGGCUAACUACGUG
RNAcentral lists this ribosomal RNA (468 nucleotides) under uncultured bacterium. RNAcentral's name for it is "partial 16S ribosomal RNA". It matches the Rfam family "Bacterial small subunit ribosomal RNA", at positions 28 to 507 of the family's 1533-position model. The record is from RNAcentral.